AUAGCCCAAAUGCCCCCAAGUCUAUUCUGUGCAGUGUAAAUUCAUUGCACUGUAUUGAUAAAAGCACUGAUGCAUUUCAAAUGAUGCAGAUGCACGUGCAGUGAAUGAAUUAUUUAUCGUUUGCUUUACAUAGAUACGGAGAACUUUGUAAGUGCUAAUACUUUUCAUUGUGAAAAAAGGGUUGCGUUAAGAUGCUUCUUUGACAGACCUGGAGACUAAAAUAACAUUGUUAGAGAGCUGUAACAUGGCUAGCUGGAGUUCAGGCUUCUCUGGCUAGCUCCUCCAUGGGCUUGACCAUAUCAGAGAGACCAAAUGAACUGCAUGGGAGAAGGAGCCUUGUUCUUAAGAGGGUUAGGCUGCUGGCAUGAAAGGUCUUUGUCUUUCUCAUCAGAGGAACAGGUUCUGGUCUUGUGUGUGUUCUGCAGGUGCUACAAGUUGAGGGCUACACACCCGCCCCAACUCUCAUCCUAAAUAAAUGCAAACUGCCCACAGAUGUUUUUGUUAGUAUAAAUUUGGUGAAGGCAUAAAGAAAAUUGUGUUACUCUAUUGGAAUUUUUGCUUCAUUGCCUGCUGUGCUAAACAGAGAUACUAAUUACAUCUUAUAUUGCCAAGGAAGAAGAAAUAAAGGCUCACACUCUGUCAAGACUGCUACAAUGGGAAAGAAGAGAGGAAUGUAUUAAACAUUUUGGACCAUAAUUUUGAUUUUAAGACUCAUCCUGGAUUAUCAUCUCCAGGGAUUUCAUAGAAUAAAAUAUCUACUCUGAGAACACUGAAA
This is a long non-coding RNA of Anas platyrhynchos (mallard), 775 nucleotides long. RefSeq lists it as uncharacterized. Lineage: Eukaryota; Metazoa; Chordata; Aves; Anseriformes; Anatidae. The record is from RefSeq and is a predicted model, not a curated record.